AAGCAACGCGCAGAACCUUACCAGCCCUUGACAUCCCGGUCGCGGUUUCCAGAGAUGGAUUCCUUCAGUUCGGCUGGACCGGUGACAGGUGCUGCAUGGCUGUCGUCAGCUCGUGUCGUGAGAUGUUGGGUUAAGUCCCGCAACGAGCGCAACCCUCGCCCUUAGUUGCCAUCAUUCAGUUGGGCACUCUAAGGGGACUGCCGGUGAUAAGCCGAGAGGAAGUGGGGAUGACGCCAAGUCAUCAUGGCCCUCAUGUCCAGGGCGACACACGUGCUACAAUGGCCGGCACAACGGGAAGCGACGGCGCGAGUCGUAGCGGAUCCCUCAAAGCCGGUCCCAGUUCGGAUUGCAGUCUGCAACUCGACUGCGUGAAGUCGGAAUCGCUAGUAAUCGUGAAUCAGAAUGUCACGGUGGAUACGUUCCCGGGCCUU
This 431-nucleotide ribosomal RNA is filed under the name uncultured Aurantimonadaceae bacterium. RNAcentral describes it as "bacterial SSU rRNA". It matches the Rfam family "Bacterial small subunit ribosomal RNA", at positions 954 to 1382 of the family's 1533-position model. Lineage: Bacteria; Pseudomonadati; Pseudomonadota; Alphaproteobacteria; Hyphomicrobiales; Aurantimonadaceae. The record is from RNAcentral.